Molecule: ribosomal RNA, 200 nt
Filed under: uncultured bacterium
Lineage: Bacteria
Description: partial 16S ribosomal RNA
Rfam family: Bacterial small subunit ribosomal RNA
Source: RNAcentral
AACGAACGCUGGCGGCAGGCUUAACACAUGCAAGUCGAGCGCCCCGCAAGGGGAGCGGCAGACGGGUGAGUAACGCGUGGGAAUCUACCCUUUUCUACGGAAUAACGCAGGGAAACUUGUGCUAAUACCGUAUACGCCCUUCGGGGGAAAGAUUUAUCGGGAAAGGAUGAGCCCGCGUUGGAUUAGCUAGUUGGUGGGGU